GGUCGAGCGGAAUGAUGAGAGCUUGCUCUCUGAUUUUAGCGGCGGACGGGUGAGUAACACGUGGGCAACCUGCCCUACAGAUGGGGAUAACUCCGGGAAACCGGGGCUAAUACCGAAUAAUCAGUUUGUCCGCAUGGACAAACUCUGAAAGACGGUUUCGGCUGUCACUGUAGGAUGGGCCCGCGGCGCAUUAGCUAGUUGGUGGGGUAAUGGCCUACCAAGGCAACGAUGCGUAGCCGACCUGAGAGGGUGAUCGGCCACACUGGGACUGAGACACGGCCCAGACUCCUACGGGAGGCAGCAGUAGGGAAUCUUCCACAAUGGACGAAAGUCUGAUGGAGCAAUGCCGCGUGAGCGAAGAAGGUUUUCGGAUCGUAAAGCUCUGUUGUAAGGGAAGAACACGUACGGGAGUAACUGCCCGUGCCAUGACGGUACCUUAUUAGAAAGCCACGGCUAACUACGUGCCAGCAGCCGCGGUAAUACGUAGGUGGCAAGCGUUGUCCGGAAUUAUUGGGCGUAAAGCGCGCGCAGGCGGUUCUUUAAGUCUGAUGUGAAAGCCCACGGCUCAACCGUGGAGGGUCAUUGGAAACUGGAGAACUUGAGUACAGAAGAGGAAAGCGGAAUUCCACGUGUAGCGGUGAAAUGCGUAGAGAUGUGGAGGAACACCAGUGGCGAA
RNAcentral lists this ribosomal RNA (676 nucleotides) under uncultured bacterium. RNAcentral describes it as "bacterial SSU rRNA". It matches the Rfam family "Bacterial small subunit ribosomal RNA", at positions 60 to 719 of the family's 1533-position model. The record is from RNAcentral.